ACUCAAAGGAAUUGACGGGGGCCCGCACAAGCGGUGGAGCAUGUGGUUCAAUUCGAUGCAACGCGAAGAACCUUACCCAGGUUUGACAUGCACUGGACAGGUGUGGAAACACACCCUCUCUUCGGAGUCGGUGCACAGGUGCUGCAUGGCUGUCGUCAGCUCGUGUCGUGAGAUGUUGGGUUAAGUCCCGCAACGAGCGCAACCCUUGUCCCUAGUUGCCAGCAAAUCAUGUUGGGCACUCUAGGGAGACCGCCGUCGAUAAGGCGGAGGAAGGUGGGGAUGACGUCAAGUCCUCAUGGUCCUUACACCUGGGGCUACACACGUGCUACAAUGGCCGGUACAAAGGGUCGCAAUGCCGCGAGGUGGAGCCAAUCCCAAAAAGCCGGCCUCAGUUCGGAUUGCAGUCUGCAACUCGACUGCAUGAAGGCGGAAUCGCUAGUAAUCGCUGAUCAGCAGGCAGCGGUGAAUAUGUUCCCGGGCCUUGUACACACCGCCCGU
RNAcentral lists this ribosomal RNA (498 nucleotides) under uncultured bacterium. RNAcentral's name for it is "partial 16S ribosomal RNA". It matches the Rfam family "Bacterial small subunit ribosomal RNA", at positions 899 to 1397 of the family's 1533-position model. The record is from RNAcentral.